Molecule: ribosomal RNA, 2900 nt
Filed under: Klebsiella pneumoniae
Lineage: Bacteria; Pseudomonadati; Pseudomonadota; Gammaproteobacteria; Enterobacterales; Enterobacteriaceae
Description: 23S ribosomal RNA
Rfam family: Bacterial large subunit ribosomal RNA
Source: RNAcentral
UUAAGCGACUAAGCGUACACGGUGGAUGCCCUGGCAGUCAGAGGCGAUGAAGGACGUGCUAAUCUGCGAAAAGCGUCGGUAAGGUGAUAUGAACCGUUAUAACCGGCGAUGUCCGAAUGGGGAAACCCAGUGCAAUUCGUUGCACUAUCGUUAACUGAAUACAUAGGUUAACGAGGCGAACCGGGGGAACUGAAACAUCUAAGUACCCCGAGGAAAAGAAAUCAACCGAGAUUCCCCCAGUAGCGGCGAGCGAACGGGGAGCAGCCCAGAGUCUGAAUCAGCUUGUGUGUUAGUGGAACGGUCUGGAAAGUCCGACGGUACAGGGUGAUAGUCCCGUACACCAAAAUGCACAGGCUGUGAACUCGAAGAGUAGGGCGGGACACGUGGUAUCCUGUCUGAAUAUGGGGGGACCAUCCUCCAAGGCUAAAUACUCCUGACUGACCGAUAGUGAACCAGUACCGUGAGGGAAAGGCGAAAAGAACCCCGGCGAGGGGAGUGAAAAAGAACCUGAAACCGUGUACGUACAAGCAGUGGGAGCACCUUCGGGUGUGACUGCGUACCUUUUGUAUAAUGGGUCAGCGACUUAUAUUCUGUAGCAAGGUUAACCGUAUAGGGGAGCCGCAGGGAAACCGAGUCUUAACUGGGCGUUAAGUUGCAGGGUAUAGACCCGAAACCCGGUGAUCUAGCCAUGGGCAGGUUGAAGGUUGGGUAACACUAACUGGAGGACCGAACCGACUAAUGUUGAAAAAUUAGCGGAUGACUUGUGGCUGGGGGUGAAAGGCCAAUCAAACCGGGAGAUAGCUGGUUCUCCCCGAAAGCUAUUUAGGUAGCGCCUCGUGAAUUCAUCUUUGGGGGUAGAGCACUGUUUCGGCUAGGGGGUCAUCCCGACUUACCAACCCGAUGCAAACUACGAAUACCGAAGAAUGUUAUCACGGGAGACACACGGCGGGUGCUAACGUCCGUCGUGAAGAGGGAAACAACCCAGACCGCCAGCUAAGGUCCCAAAGUCAUGGUUAAGUGGGAAACGAUGUGGGAAGGCACAGACAGCCAGGAUGUUGGCUUAGAAGCAGCCAUCAUUUAAAGAAAGCGUAAUAGCUCACUGGUCGAGUCGGCCUGCGCGGAAGAUGUAACGGGGCUAAACCAUGCACCGAAGCUGCGGCAGCGACACUAUGUGUUGUUGGGUAGGGGAGCGUUCUGUAAGCCUGCGAAGGUGACCUGUGAGGGUUGCUGGAGGUAUCAGAAGUGCGAAUGCUGACAUAAGUAACGAUAAAGCGGGUGAAAAGCCCGCUCGCCGGAAGACCAAGGGUUCCUGUCCAACGUUAAUCGGGGCAGGGUGAGUCGACCCCUAAGGCGAGGCCGAAAGGCGUAGUCGAUGGGAAACAGGUUAAUAUUCCUGUACUUGGUGUUACUGCGAAGGGGGGACGGAGAAGGCUAUGUUAGCCGGGCGACGGUUGUCCCGGUUUAAGCAUGUAGGCUGGUUGUCCAGGCAAAUCCGGAUAAUCAAGGCUGAGGUGUGAUGACGAGGCACUACGGUGCUGAAGUAACAAAUGCCCUGCUUCCAGGAAAAGCCUCUAAGCAUCAGGUAACAUCAAAUCGUACCCCAAACCGACACAGGUGGUCAGGUAGAGAAUACCAAGGCGCUUGAGAGAACUCGGGUGAAGGAACUAGGCAAAAUGGUGCCGUAACUUCGGGAGAAGGCACGCUGGUGUGUAGGUGAAGUCCCUGCGGAUGGAGCUGAGACCAGUCGAAGAUACCAGCUGGCUGCAACUGUUUAUUAAAAACACAGCACUGUGCAAACACGAAAGUGGACGUAUACGGUGUGACGCCUGCCCGGUGCCGGAAGGUUAAUUGAUGGGGUUAUCCGUAAGGAGAAGCUCUUGAUCGAAGCCCCGGUAAACGGCGGCCGUAACUAUAACGGUCCUAAGGUAGCGAAAUUCCUUGUCGGGUAAGUUCCGACCUGCACGAAUGGCGUAAUGAUGGCCAGGCUGUCUCCACCCGAGACUCAGUGAAAUUGAACUCGCUGUGAAGAUGCAGUGUACCCGCGGCAAGACGGAAAGACCCCGUGAACCUUUACUAUAGCUUGACACUGAACAUUGAGCCUUGAUGUGUAGGAUAGGUGGGAGGCUUUGAAGCGUGGACGCCAGUCUGCGUGGAGCCAACCUUGAAAUACCACCCUUUAAUGUUUGAUGUUCUAACGUUGGCCCCUGACCGGGGUUGCGGACAGUGUCUGGUGGGUAGUUUGACUGGGGCGGUCUCCUCCCAAAGCGUAACGGAGGAGCACGAAGGUUAGCUAAUCCUGGUCGGACAUCAGGAGGUUAGUGCAAUGGCAUAAGCUAGCUUGACUGCGAGCGUGACGGCGCGAGCAGGUGCGAAAGCAGGUCAUAGUGAUCCGGUGGUUCUGAAUGGAAGGGCCAUCGCUCAACGGAUAAAAGGUACUCCGGGGAUAACAGGCUGAUACCGCCCAAGAGUUCAUAUCGACGGCGGUGUUUGGCACCUCGAUGUCGGCUCAUCACAUCCUGGGGCUGAAGUAGGUCCCAAGGGUAUGGCUGUUCGCCAUUUAAAGUGGUACGCGAGCUGGGUUUAGAACGUCGUGAGACAGUUCGGUCCCUAUCUGCCGUGGGCGCUGGAGAAUUGAGGGGGGCUGCUCCUAGUACGAGAGGACCGGAGUGGACGCAUCACUGGUGUUCGGGUUGUCAUGCCAAUGGCACUGCCCGGUAGCUAAAUGCGGAAGAGAUAAGUGCUGAAAGCAUCUAAGCACGAAACUUGCCCCGAGAUGAGUUCUCCCUGAGACUUUAAGUCUCCUGAAGGAACGUUGAAGACGACGACGUUGAUAGGCCGGGUGUGUAAGCGCAGCGAUGCGUUGAGCUAACCGGUACUAAUGAACCGUGAGGCUUAACCUU